This 698-nucleotide long non-coding RNA is filed under the name Solanum tuberosum (potato). Its description in RNAcentral is "long non-coding RNA (STUB_LNC009695)". The record is from RNAcentral. Lineage: Eukaryota; Viridiplantae; Streptophyta; Magnoliopsida; Solanales; Solanaceae.
AGAUCUUGACAUUCGUACCUCCUUGAAUCAACUGAUUCAUUGGGCGGAGGGAGGGAGCAGCGGUGGCAGUGAUCGCCCGAGACCACUAAUUCGCAAUGGAGUGAGAGAAAGACGAUGCAGGUCAGUGGAAGAAGAACGAGGCAAGUGCGGGUGGGAUCUGGCCACGACAGCGAAGAGGUUUUCCGGUCAGAUCUGGUGGCCACGAUGCGACGGAGAUGAAGACGGGUGAGGAAGAGAGUACAUGUGGUCGCCGCAAGAGCUGUGACGAUGACUGAGACGAAGACGGCGGCGAAGGCUUUAGAUUUUGACGGUUUCAAGGUGGGAAUGGGGAGAUUAAAGUAUGGUGUUUCAAAUUUUAUUUUUUAAAAAUAAAUUAAAAAUUUAUUAUUUCAUAUUUUAUUAUAUAAUUUUGAUUAAUAGUUUUAAAAAAUAGUUAAUAAAGAUAAUUAUGACAUGUCAUUAAUUUAGAUGACGUGGCUUUGAUAUAUCAUUUAUUUAAAAGCAAGUGAACUACACACAUGAUAAAAGGGUUUAAAAUUCUUCUUUCGAUUGAGUAUAAGGGUUCAGUUGAUAAAAGAUUAAGUAGAACGGUCCAUAAUACAAACGCGUACAAGUAUAAGGGUCCAUUAGACCAUUUUGCCUAUAUGUAAAAUUAAAAGUACAAAAAACAAAAAAUUUAGAAGAAAGAAACGCAUGAG